RNAcentral lists this long non-coding RNA (11616 nucleotides) under Chlamydomonas reinhardtii. Its description in RNAcentral is "long non-coding RNA (CREI_LNC000557)". The record is from RNAcentral. Lineage: Eukaryota; Viridiplantae; Chlorophyta; Chlorophyceae; Chlamydomonadales; Chlamydomonadaceae.
GUGCGCAUCGUGAAGCACGCGUUCGACAUCAUCCACCUGCUGACGGACCAGAACCCCAUCCAGGUGGUGGUGGAUGCCAUCAUCAACAGGUGCGCGUGCUGUCGCCGUCAUGGGCACGGAGAGAAGUCAUUAUGGGAGAGAUUGGCACGGAGAGGGUGGGGGUGGUGUGAGGGUCGAGAGCGGCGAGGGCGUGCCUGCCUUCCAAGCGGACGGGCGGAGGCGCGGAGCGGGUGGAACGAGCAUGCAGCGCGAAUGCGGAGCUCUGGCGAACGCUUUUGUGUGUGGGAAGGGGGAUUAGAUACAGUAUGCAUGGCGUCUGGAGCACGCCUAUCGCCGGCUGGAGCUCGGCGGCCGGGCGGGCCUCAGCUGGCAGCAGCAGGGCAUCCAGCACAGGAGUGUCAGGCAGCCACAGCACCACAGCAGACAUGAUUGCCGGUCGGCGAGUUCGGACUGGGGCUUUUGGAGCAAGAGAACAGCAACCAGGAGCAGCCACUGCGGGUAGCCUGACUGAGGCGGCGGGGCUGCUGCUGUGCGAAAUGCCGAGCGCGCUGCCGCCGCCAGCCCGGCAGGGGGGAGGCAGCGUUGGCGGCCGAUGACGGUUCUGCUGCGGACGCGGUUACGAGCCACUGGUAUGCGGAUGGGGCGGAUCCAUGCCUGCCGGAAUGCGUGUUGGACCCUGGCGCCGGAUGGAGCACCGCGAUGCUGGCAAUGAGCCAGCGGCGGCUGUCCGCGAGGGAACCUGGAUCAGCGGCAACAGCAGGAGCGCUGUGGCGUGCACAGAGGGUCAGAGCGGAUCUGCCCUAUGGGCCGGCAGGGGGAUGGUACCAACGUGACAGCAAAGGCGACAGCAGCUGCCAUAAGUUGGCGCCUGGUUGCUUUCCUGGCUUGCACGACCCAUGGCGUUAUAGUAUCACGAGUGCACAAAGCUACCAAAGGCGUGGUGUCCUGUCCUCACGGUGUUCGUGCAUAUGCGUGUGUAUUCCUGUGUGCAGCGGCCCUCGUGAGGAUGCCACCCGUAUCGGCUCCGCCGGUGUGGUGCGCCGCCAGGCCGUCGAUAUCUCGCCCCUGCGCCGCGUCAACCAGGUGCGUGUGACCUCUUGAUAUGAGCGCGGGUUCUUCAGCGGGGAUCACGGCGGAUCGGUAGCGGCGGCCAUAUAAGUUCCGGCACUGCCUUCGGCGCAGUCACAGCUUCAGUCACGUGCGCAGCAACGGGUGGGGUGAGGGGCAGCGGACACCCAGGCGUUCAGGUGGAAAGGCGCAACUGCGCUGCUUGAGCUUGGCCAAAAUUGAGGAGCUUGCGGGAUAGCACAGCGGUUGCCAAUCGCUGCGCAUGGACGAACAUGCUUUGAUGAUGUGCUCGGAGUCCAGGGGUUGGAGCUUUGUUGCCCCCGAAUGGGUUGCAUGUCUGGGCAGGUUGAUUGCCAUCAGCCGCAGACGGUUGCCACAUCGCGAGGUGUUAGGAGCAAGCAGUUCUAACAUACGCCGCGCUUUGAAUGGCAGGCAGUUGGCUUGCAGCUUGCCGCCUGUGCGCCGCGGGUGCACAGCUCCGCUAUCCAUGGCUGCUUGCCAGCCGCGACUACUGCACCCCGGCCGCCUACUCACAAAUCGUCUUUGUCCUCUGUGCUUCAUGUGCACAGGCCAUCUACCUGCUGACCACUGGCGCCCGCGAGGCCGCCUUCCGCAACAUCAAGACCAUUGCGGAGUGCCUGGCUGACGAGCUGGUGAACGCUGCCAAGGGCUCGUCCAACAGGUGGGCGCCUGCGUACUAGCACGAUGGGCUAGGAUUGGAGGCGCCAGAGGCCGCCGUGAGGCGGGCGGCAGUGGUGCCGGGUUGGUCAGGCAUCCAAGAAAAAAGUGCCGCGGUUGGGUUCGGGCGAGCGGCACAUGCAUUACGGCACUGCGCCUCCACCACAUUCAAGCACUUGUGAAGUUAUUCGCUCCUGACUUUUCACACAAAUGUGCCGCGCAGCUACGCCAUCAAGAAGAAGGACGAGAUCGAGCGCGUGGCCAAGGCCAACCGCUAAAGGAGCAGCAGCAGGUGCUGCCGCGGAGGUCGCAGGAGCAGCAGCAGGGAGGGAGCAUCCGCAGCCGUGGUGUGGGCUGCUGCGGGCAGUGUGGCCGGGGGUACACUGUGUAACGAUGUACACACGCUUGUGACUCAUCCGGCCCUGACCGCGGUGGCUUGUGUUCUCUGCAAUGACUCUCGCCAGUGACUCUCGUAGCGUCAAGACGUUGGAAACGAGCGGGCGCCCAAGCACCAGCUGGCCAUGCAUAAGAGACGUUAGGCCAGCCAUGUGCGAGAAGCGGUAGGAAUGGCAGCAUUUUACAGGGGUGCCCCAUGCUGCAAGUCGCCUUUGAGUUCGUCAGCAUGCAGCUUCAACCGCUGGACGUAACUCUGAUGCAGUUGGAUGACAAGGUCUGACGCGGGCUGCCGCAGCAUUGCACUCUUGUGGGUGCCGUUGGCACCUGCCGCACUGGCUUAACCAAGCGCGACCAGCCAGUGCCUACUGCCACCAUUGCUCAACCAGCCAGACACAAAAGGACAGCCCACCCAGACCAGCUGGCAGCUGUUGUGGAACCGACCGUGUGAUGCCUGUGGGAGGGGCAGGUGUGUACGGAGCAGCCGGUGGGUGCUGGGAGUGGCGACAGGCGCGGGCUGUAGUGUCGGCGGUUGGCACGCCUGCUGCAACCAGGAUAGGCACUGGAGUGCGGGGGUCUAUGUCUGCCCCGCCCACGAAACCUCUGUCCCUGCCCCGCCCGCGAAACUUUCGAGGAGACAUCGUUACACCACAGUGCAAGCCGCCACAGAGCCGCCACGCCUCCACAUAGAACCGCCAAGCCACUGCGCCAACAGUGCAUUCAUAGAACCCAUAACCAAUGUCAUAACACACAAACCUCUAGGGCUCAGCCCCUAGCCUUACGAGCCUCGGCUCGUGAGGAAGCGCACAACAUUUUCGUGUGCGGCUUUGGCUUUCGUUACUAACUUUUUGUAGCCUUUUGCGGGCUCUGUGAGGCUUUACGACUUGGUUCCGACUUGGUUUGGAUGGCUUCGGCCUUGGGUGGGUGCGUCGCGCCCUGUUUUCGGCAUUGCGCGUUCUGUGGCGGCUGGCCGCGUCUGGGUGGCCGGCCGCGCUCGUUCUGCUCUGUGGUCGCUUUUUGGUUUAGUGUGUGCAGGUUACGGUGGCCCUGGUGGUCGCUCGUGGCCCGGCGCAAGCUUCGAUGUUCCGUGGUGCUCCUCGGCGCCUCUCCUCGUGCCGCCUGGCCCGCCGUCGUCUCCACCGGCGGCCUUGCUGGCUCAGCAGAUAGUUAGGUUGCGGGUGCCGUUCGUAGCAUGGCGGUUCAGGGACCGUUAGGCAGCAGAUGACGCUGGUCCCGGGUGUCGGAUGUGAGUGCCCGGGCGGCUGUUGCCCGGGCGCCCGGGCGGCUGGUGCGCCUGUUCGCCUCCGGGCGCGCGCGUGCCUGUUUGGUGGGUCGGUCUAGUUCGCUGGUGGGGCGGGUGGAGGGCGGUGUGCCCGUGGCGAGGUGUUGUGGUGUACUGGUGGUUUGGUCAGUUUCCGGCUCGGUUUCCCUUUGUGGUGCCUCGGCACCGACGUUUCCGGACAUGGGCCUCCGGGCCAAGACAUUGCGCGUCUGUGACGCCGACGAGAAAAUGUGUGGUGCUUGCGUUUGAUGGGGAUGUCGGCAGACCUCUGGCCUGUCGCGCCUUGUUGUGCGUUGGUGCUGCCGCCAAAAGACCUAAACGAGAUGAGGGGUGUUACGUGGCGGUGGGGCUUUGGCGGGCUUCGGCUUGGCUUCGACUCAUGUGCGUAACACUAUGAAGGUCGGCAGCCAACCAGGGGGCGGGUGUUGUUUCUCUGGGUCGCAGAUGGCCCUUCGCGGCGUGGGUACGGCGUGCCCCCGCUUGUCGGGCUGUCCCUUCAAUUGUAAUCCGCAUCCAUAGAUUGCAUUGGUUACAAGAUUCAUAGGAAGUUUUGUUGAGUACGUAAGCAAUCCCGUCAUCCUGGGAUGCGUGACUGCUUACAUAUGCUAUCGAGAUCGAAUACCGCACAGUGACCCAAAGUGGGAUACCUGGGGCGCCCGGCGUCGCGCGUCCAAGCGCGGGCUUGCGGCCUGGCAGCCUGGGCAGCCCCAUCGCCCUAGCGACUGGCUUUGCGGGGGCAUCUCGCCGCGACGGCGGGGCAUCAGGUGAGAAAUCGGCUUGACGGUCGCCCAUCGGGCAGCAUGUACACCCGCGCGCGCCGUUGCGACACACUGCAUCUUCACUCUGCACAGCUCACACGCCUGCCACACUGCUUGCAUCCGCUGUUAUCCGCCAGGCCUGAGGCAUUUCCCACACUCCAAUAGGAUACCGCCCAUCGCCCCUGCACCCCGCGUCCUCAACCCCCUGCCUCACCAGCCCAACGCGUGCGUCUACACAUUUUGCAACGCAACAAUGUUUUCGCAGAUGAUAUCCUCACGCAUGUACGUCUGAUCACAGGAAAGAUCGUUAGUGCUGAAGCCCUCCUCACCACGCAUACGCACACGCUGACACGCACCAACGGCUUGGUUGCCCGUGCCCACGACGCGUUCCGCUGUGGACGCGAACAUGCAGCACACCCAGACUGCCCUCGCGCUGCCGCGCCCGCCACAACAGGGUGUGCAGGCCACAUACACAUCCAGAAAAACUCAUUGAGCCCCGUCGCACCGAACCGGCCUGGCACAGGCACGGUCAACAAUUUGUCAGCACCGCACAUUCCAGGUUACACAAGAGCCCAGGGGCCUACCCAGUACCCACCCUUCGACGCCAAUACCCUCGCACCAUACAGUAGCGCACAAAGUCACCGCUACACACCGGUUCUUACUACCGUAUUGCAGCAUUUAUUAACGUGUUCAGGGGUAAUCCAUGCGGUGUGGAUGUCACAACAUUAGUCGGGCAAACGCAUUUCUGGACCGCUUUUGGCUUAGCAAUCUUAGCUUAGGCGCUGCACUUCGUGACGUCCAUGCCGGGUCCACGCGCAGAUUCGGAGCGCCAGCCAGCGCAUCCCCUUGAUUCCCUGAUGCGCCCGCACGACGGACAUUCCACCGCACACCGCCCUAUGCCACACAAGCACACGCACACAUGCAUUUCCACGGCCCAGACGCUGAGCCGCACCCCACCGUCGCACAGUAGACAACCCCCCCAUUUUUAGAUUCUAGACCGCAGUACAAGCCUGUUCAGCGCCGACACGCCUUCAACCCCUGUGCUCCGCUCGUUUUAGCUUGGUUUGGUUUAGUUUGGGCUGGAAUUUACAACCCUCCUUCCCCCCCCCCGAGCUGGCGCCCUCGCCAGCAGGCCACGGCACCUACGCCAGCAUCGCUCAGCGUGGCGUGGACAUGACGUCGUCACGUGUGAUCACGAUGGGGUGCGAAGCCAGCAGGAUGCGGGCGCGGCGGCGCGGCGGCGGCGUGCCAGGGCGCUGCAGCUGCCCACCACCGCUGCCAUCAGGACCAACGGCGCCCGUUGACCUGAAGCCGUUCACCUGGGCAUCCCACAGGGCAUCCACUACCGCUGCCGUUUUCGGCGCGGCGUAGCCGUCGGCUGCCGCCAGCAACGCCGCGUCGAGCGUCCCCGGCACAGCGGCGCCGCCACUCGGGUGUGGGACCGAUGUAGUUGAGGUAGCGUCCACUGCAGCGUUCGACACUGCGACGGUGGCGGCGGCAACUGCCGCAGGCGUGGUCCCGGGCCCGUUGGCGACUGAUGGCGGCCGGGCGGAGACGCCACCGCCGGCGGACCCGCUCCUGCCGCUUCGUGGCACGGGGGACAGGUCAGGGGAGCCCGGCUUAUUGUCGUGCAAGGCUGACGCGUCUGCCGGCGGCGGCGGAGAGGCGGGCGCAGCGCGUGUGGCGGCGGACAGUGGGAGUGUACUGUCGAUGGACGGCAGCCGGGGGAGCUCCGCCGGAGGUCCCGAGGGCGGCCGGGGCGGCGUUACUGGCUUGGGCUCCAGCACCGGCAAUGGCACUGCUGCCGCUUCAGGUGCCGCUGCAGGCGCAGCCGCCGGCCCGCCACCAGACGACGACCGCCGCAGCACUGCGUCCUCCUCGCUCGCAGAGGCCGCAGCCGGCGCCGAUGCCUCCCCCCGUACAAGGGGUCGUAGGUCCGAGGCGGAGGGCGUGGGACUCCACCAGGCCAGGUCUUCCGAGUUCUCCGUGCCCACCGCCAGCUCAGCCCCCGCCCCAGCCGUUGCGGGCACUGCCGGCGCCGCCUCUGCCGCGGCCGCGGCCGCUGCCAGCGGCGGCAGCACCGAUGGCCCAGCUGCCGCAGCGGCGGCCACGGGCUGCCGCACGGCGCGGACUGCCAGCGGCUGGUCGGCUUCUUGGUCGAAAGACGGGGGGUCGUUGUAGGCGAACGCGGACCGCGGCAGCUCGAAUGACGCCAUGGCGAUGCCGCCCUGGUUAAGUGGCUUGGUGAGCUCAGGCGCUGGUGCGGGCACUUGUGCAGGUGGGGCUGUAGGUGCCGGCGGAGGUGCGGGCUCUCGUGCCGGUGCUGGUGGCGGCACUGGUGCGGGCGCUGGUGCGGACACGGGUGGCGGCGCUGCCGCAGGUGCUCGUGCGGACACCGGUGGGGGCGCUGAUUCCGGUUCCGGAGGCGGCAUCGCAACCCUUUCCGUUUUGACGAUCCCGCGUGGCGGAGCGCCGCUGCUGUUCGACAGCCGGUGCGGUGGCGGCGGCGGCUGUGCAGGCUGGUCCUGCGCCUCCGCUGCGGCGCCGCCGCCACCACCGCUCACGCCCCUGACACCUCCUUCAGCCGCAGCAGUGGCCGUCACCGCCGCCGCCGCUGCUGCAGCAGCAGCUCCGUAGGGCUGGAGGUCCACGGAGGAGGCGAAGCCGCCGCUGAUGCUGCCUCGCCCGGCCGGUCCCGAGUCCGUCAUGGCGAAAGACGCCUCCAUCACACUUGCCCCGUCUACGUCCGCGCUGCUGCUCGCCUCUGCCUCCAAUCGCCCCAACGCCUCCGCAAGCGCGGCACCGGGCACGGCGCCGCCGCUGCUGCCGCCAGCUCCACCUCGGCUGCCAGCACCGCCGUCACUUUCCGUGCCGCCGUCACGCGCCCCGCCGGCUCGCGCCGCCGACGGCGCGGCUUCUGUGUCCGCCCUCGGCGCCCGGCCUGUGGUGUGCUCCCCGCGCUCCUCCCCUGUGAUUGCGCUGAGUGCGGCCGCAAUGGCGUCGUCUCCCGACUUGGCACUGGCCAGCAACAGCGGCGCCGCGCUGCCGCCAGACUCAUCGCCACCACCAGGGGCGUAUCGCGACCGCGGGGGGUGCUGCUGGUGGUCGAGGCUGGUGUCACUGGUGUAGCCCGUGUGGCGGCCGCUGCUGGCGGCGCUGCCGCCCAUCAAGCGGCCCUGGCUGGGAACUCCUAACGCGGUCGCGGCGAAGCGCGUCGUGCCGCCGCCAGCGCGCCCCGAGCCGCCCCCACCGCCCCAGUCGGGGCCGCUGCCGCCACCGUUGUCGCUGACGUGGCCCGAAGACAUGCCGCUGAGGGGCGAGGGAGAGCGCGAGCGGGGAGGGCGGUAGCGGGCCUGGCUGCCAGACGGAGCCACAAAGGAGUUGGACCGAGAGGGUGUGUUGCUGUCGCCGCCGCCAGUGGAGAUGCCGCCACCGCCCCCGGUCCGCGGGCUGUCACCAUUGAGCGAGGAGCCCGUGGAGGUCCUGCAGUAGAAGGUUAUCGCACACAGAUUGUAACAUUACCGACUGCUUCCAUGUAAAUUGUGUCCCUUCCCGCGGCCAAUGAGCGGAUAAUGGCAAGGGUAUGGUCAGGCCUGGUGCCGGCCCACCACCAGCGACCGCACCUCACCUGGCGAGCAGGGUGUCUAUGCUAACUGGCCCGUUGUUGGCCACGGCGGCGCCGCUGGGGCUGGAGCUCGAGCCCGCUGGCGCCAGUGACGUGCCGAAUGGGGACGAGGUUGCCGGUGCGGCUGCCGACGUCGCUAGCUUUGGCGCCACAAACGCUGCGGGUGGCGCGGCUGCGCCGCCAGAAGUGCGUUGCUGUAGCUGCCGUUGCAGUUCCUGCAGCUGCGCCUGGAUUGCAGAAAGCGAGGCGGUGUCUGCAAGCUGGAGGGGCGGCUGAGGCGGCAUGGCGGGCAGCGGGUGGCCCAUGGGACUGCCGCUGCCAGCAACCAUGCCCGCACCUACAACCACACCCGCAACCCCGCUCGCACCCGCACCCGUGGCCGCACCAGCGGCAGGGCUUGGCCCUGGGCUCUGCGACAUGGUGCCGCUUACUCCUCCGCCGAAACCACCCAGGCCACCGUUCAUUCCGCCGCCACCGCUGGCGAUGGGGCUGCCCAGGCUGCCAGGCCGCAAGCCCGCGCUCGGACGCGCGCCGCCGGGCGCCCCAGGUAUCCCCGAGCCCCUGCCGGCUGCGAUGGGCCGCACCAUGCUACCGAAGUUCUCCAGCCCCAGCUUCCGUGCUCCCGGCCGGGCCGCCAGCGCGCCGCCGCCGACUAUGCCAGCGGGCAAGCCCCCGCCCGCAGCCGCGGCCGCGCCACCGGCUCCAACCCCAGUGCCAGCAGCCGUGCCUGGGCUGCCCGUGAGUACGCCUGAGCUCUUGCCCAGCCGCGCGCCCGCACUGUUGGCGUUCACGGCCGGCAGCGGCAGACUGCUGCUGGCGGGGGAGGUGGUGAUGGUGGCGGCGGCGGUGACCGGCUUUGCCGGCACGCCCGCCCGGGCCAUCAUGGCUUGCAGUUGUGCCUGCUGAGCUUGUAACGCCUGCAGCGCCGCCAGCUGUGACUGCAAGGUGCUCGCUGCUGCGGCGGUCGGGGCUGCCGGGGCCGCCGCAGCGGCUGGUGCGGCUAAGGUGGCGGACGAGGAGAGGUCUGUGCUGGGCCGCCCCUUCUCCCCCACCUUCCUCCGUAGCACGGCAAGCUGGGUUAUACAGCGGGCAAAGCAGCGUGCCACAACUGUUUGACUCUUGAAAGAUAGUGCGGAUGCAAUGAUCUACAGAAGGGCUUUCCAUCCUAGUUGUCGGGGUUCACAUGCCAGACAUUCUGCUCCCACACAGCAGCCGCCAGCACCCAUCACCCAGCACCCACGCACCUGCGCCGCCAGCUCAGCCGCCGCGGCCGUGCCUCUGGGCGUGUUGCCUCCCGGCACAACCACAGACCCCGUCGGCACCGCGUCCGUUGGCAUCACGCCAGCUGACGUCAGCUGCAGCGGCGGCGGCCGGUGGUGGUGGUCCGAGCUCCCGGCAUCCGCCCCUGAAGCCGCGGCGCCGUCGGCCGCGGGCUGUAUCUCCGUGCCCCCGGCAGCCCGUGGCGAGCUGGCUGCGCUGCUCGCCGUCUUGGAAGCCUGCAGUGCCGCCAUCUGCGCCUGUAGUACCGCCAGCUGCUGCUGCUGCGGGGUCUGAGGGCUGGCAGUGACGCCGUUGGCCAUUGGAGAGUGCGCCGGUGGCGCCGGCGUCGGGGAUGCGGGCACUGAGAGCGAGGGCGCCGGGGACGCGGGCGCUGGGCUGCUGCCAGCUCCUGCUGUUGGCUGCUGCCGCUGCUGCUGGCGGGCGCGGCACUUGAGCACCAUGAGCGCCAGGUCCUCCUUGCGCAGCGGCUGGGAGGGCGUGGGGCCACCCUGGGGGGUUAGGGGGCGAGGAAGGAGGGAAGGGAGGCUGGUAAGACGCAGGUGGAGGCACGGGAGCGCAGGGCCGGAGGCGGACGGGGAGCCAUGAGGCAUGCACGGAUACAAGGUAGGCCCCAGCGCACAGGCGCGCCACAGGAACCGCGUAUGCAGCGGCACUGUGGGCGGGGGGGGGAGUGCCAUGCGGCCAUACCCCAGCACCAGGGCCCCUUGCCACGGCCCCGGACCCGCUGCGGUGUGGUAGACUGUGUGUCCUGGCGCCCCCGUGGCCUCUCACGCUCUCUCACGCCCCUCCCCACCAGGUAGUCAUCCGCCUGCAGCGCCCGCGCCACCGCCUCGUUGGCUUGAAGCACCACCACACUGCAGCCGCCGCCGCACGCCUGCCGGGCCUGCAUGGCGCCGCCGGGGGCGCUGAACAGCACAUCGGGCUGGAAGACGAUGAUGUCAGGGCCGCUGGGCCGACCCGCAGCCUGUGGAGCGUACAAUGUGUUUGAAGAGGUGGCGGGUGUGACAGCGUGUGAGGUUGAAGGGCCCUGUACGUUUGUUUGCAGCUCACGCCACUUUGUAUUGUCGCUAGUCGGUAGUACCCCAGCGGCGUACCACCACCGCGAAGUCGCCACGCACCUCGCCACGCACCGUCCUGAUCUGCUCUAUCACGGCGAACACGUCCGGCGCGCCCGCCAUAUGCAGGACCGAGGAUACCGGUGCCUGCGCCAGCGCCGACUGAAAGAUUGCGGCAAGGCUGGGCUCAUUGACCACAAGCAGGAUGUGUACCGGCUGAUGCGCGCCUGAGGCGAAAGGCAAGAGGUUGGUCAGCGAAAACGGUCAUGGUGGGAAUCGAAUGUGAUGCGGGUUGAGUUCGGGGGCCGGUUUCGGUGCACCACAUUGGCGUACCUGCCGUCGUCUGCAAUGAGCUCUUGACUGGCGUUGAAACACGGUCAAGUGCCGGUGCUGGCGUUGUGGGUGCGGCCUGCUGCGGAAUGCGGCUUUGCUGCUGAGCCGCGAGUUGCAUUUGCAGCGUCAGCAGCUGUUGCUGCAACUCCAAAGGGCUGCCUGGCUGCUGCAUGCUGCUGAGUGGCGGAGCGUUCUCCAGGGGCGGGUAGCUUGAGGACGCUUCACGGUACACAGGGCUGUUGGCGCCGCUGGAUGAUGCAGAGCCGUGUUGAAAGUGCUUCAAGAAGCCACGCAUCGUAAGCGACGACUAAGUCUGAGGCGUUGCGGUCGAGGGGAAAACAUUCUGUGGAGGGUCGCUCUUGUGUACCUUAGGCAGAACUACUUUACAUGGAUGAUUUUGGAAACACGUGUAGCUUAUAGCGCAAGAUUUGGCAAACGCGGUGCUCUUGAGGAACUCGUUUGCUACAAGCUUCGUGCCCCUAUUCCGCAUGUGUACCAAGUAGAAGUCCUGGCUCCGUAGUGUGGAAGAUGUCCAGCUUUCUAAAAGUCAACGGCGGGUACAAUGCUCAAGGACAAAGAUGGGGAAAGACCCAAUCGGCCCCCGACAUUUUCUUUCUCCAACAGCCUUGUUACAAGCCCCGUGCAUCAACACAAAAGCAAACAAGCUAUUUACUGCCAAGGGAGCCUGCGCCUCAAGAAACGAUUGCGCGAGGCUGAGUCCGGGAAGCAGGCCUAAGUGAACAAACAAAUACGCUACUGUAUGGGGGCCUGAAUACCACGCACUUGUUGCUGCGGGCCACGAUUUUUCGCUCGGGGCUGAGGUUGGCGCCAACUGGAAGGCGGAAGUUUGCUGCAGACGGGAGCACACGCCACCCUUCGUAUACGGCAACUCCCGUGGGUGCGCGCUUCGGCCAGGGCACCUGGCAUAACUCACACCAUGUAUAUAGUGCUCGCUGGGCUGCUAGCUGUCGCUGUCAGCGUGGCAAGCGCGCAAAAUGAUGCAGCUGGCUGCGCCGAGACCAUGAAGGGCUCAUGCGGGUAAGACUAGUGUUCCCCGGUCACGGAAAAGGGGCUGCGGGUAAGAAAAGCUAUGUGGCUUUGUGCAGUUGCUACUGAACUCCCACGUCCAUGACAGAAAAAAAG